AAGUCGAGCGGAAACGAAGAGGUGCUUGCACCUCUGGCGUCGAGCGGCGGACGGGUGAGUAAUGCUUGGGAAUAUGCCUUAUGGUGGGGGACAACAGUUGGAAACGACUGCUAAUACCGCAUGAUGUCUACGGACCAAAGUGGGGGACCUUCGGGCCUCACGCCAUAAGAUUAGCCCAAGUGGGAUUAGCUAGUUGGUGAGGUAAUGGCUCACCAAGGCGACGAUCCCUAGCUGGUUUGAGAGGAUGAUCAGCCACACUGGGACUGAGACACGGCCCAGACUCCUACGGGAGGCAGCAGUGGGGAAUAUUGCACAAUGGGCGCAAGCCUGAUGCAGCCAUGCCGCGUGUGUGAAGAAGGCCUUCGGGUUGUAAAGCACUUUCAGUAAGGAGGAAAGGUUAAGUGUUAAUAGCACUUAGCUGUGACGUUACUUACAGAAGAAGCACCGGCUAACUCCGUGCCAGCAGCCGCGGUAAUACGGAGGGUGCGAGCGUUAAUCGGAAUUACUGGGCGUUAAGCGUACGCAGGCGGUUUGGUUAGCGAGAUGUGAAAGCCCC
RNAcentral lists this ribosomal RNA (556 nucleotides) under uncultured bacterium. RNAcentral's name for it is "bacterial SSU rRNA". It matches the Rfam family "Bacterial small subunit ribosomal RNA", at positions 59 to 604 of the family's 1533-position model. The record is from RNAcentral.